RNAcentral lists this ribosomal RNA (507 nucleotides) under uncultured Glomus. RNAcentral's name for it is "SSU rRNA". It matches the Rfam family "Eukaryotic small subunit ribosomal RNA", at positions 569 to 1078 of the family's 1831-position model. The record is from RNAcentral. Lineage: Eukaryota; Fungi; Glomeromycota; Glomeromycetes; Glomerales; Glomeraceae.
AGCAGCCGCGGUAAUUCCAGCUCCAAUAGCGUAUAUUAAAGUUGUUGCAGUUAAAAAGCUCGUAGUUGAAUUUCGGGAUCAAAGGAUCGGUCAUGCCUUGGUAUGUACUGGUUUUAUUGGUUCUCACCUUCUAAAGAACCAUAAUGUCAUUCAUUUGAUGUUAUGGGGAAUUAGGACUGUUACCUUGAAAAAAUUAGAGUGUUUAAGGCAGGCUUACGCUUGAAUACAUUAGCAUGGAAUAAUGAAAUAGGACAUCAGAUUCUAUUUUGUUGGUUUCUAGGAUCGAUGUAAUGAUUAAUAGGGAUAGUUGGGGGCAUUAGUAUUCAAUUGUCAGAGGUGAAAUUCUUGGAUUUAUUGAAGACUAACUACUGCGAAAGCAUUUGCCAAGGAUGUUUUCAUUAAUCAAGAACGAAAGUUAGGGGAUCGAAGACGAUCAGAUACCGUCGUAGUCUUAACCAUAAACUAUGCCGACUAGGGAUCGGAUGAUGUUAAUUUUUUAAUGACUCA